GACUCGUUAGCGAAUGGCGCGCGCCUGCCCUCAAUCCAAAUUUGGAAUCAGGUGAGUUAUCUAGGCAGGAGGAACCCGGUUCGACUCCGGGACGAGUCA
Non-coding RNA from Mycena polygramma, 99 nucleotides. The record is from the annotation of a GenBank genome assembly. NCBI's taxonomy places the organism in Eukaryota, Fungi, Basidiomycota, Agaricomycetes, Agaricales, Mycenaceae.